GUGGGGAAUUUUGGACAAUGGGGGCAACCCUGAUCCAGCAAUGCCGCGUGCAGGAAGAAGGCCUUCGGGUUGUAAACUGCUUUUGUACGGAACGAAACGGUCUGGGUUAAUACCCUGGGCUAAUGACGGUACCGUAAGAAUAAGCACCGGCUAACUACGUGCCAGCAGCCGCGGUAAUACGUAGGGUGCGAGCGUUAAUCGGAAUUACUGGGCGUAAAGCGUGCGCAGGCGGUUUUGUAAGACAGGCGUGAAAUCCCCGGGCUCAACCUGGGAAUGGCGCUUGUGACUGCAAAGCUGGAGUGCGGCAGAGGGGGAUGGAAUUCCGCGUGUAGCAGUGAAAUGCGUAGAUAUGCGGAGGAACACCGAUGGCGAAGGCAAUCCCCUGGGCCUGCACUGACGCUCAUGCACGAAAGCGUGGGGAGCAAACAGGAUUAGAAACCCCAGUAGUCC
This 450-nucleotide ribosomal RNA is filed under the name uncultured bacterium. Its description in RNAcentral is "partial 16S ribosomal RNA". It matches the Rfam family "Bacterial small subunit ribosomal RNA", at positions 354 to 796 of the family's 1533-position model. The record is from RNAcentral.